This 181-nucleotide unclassified non-coding RNA is filed under the name uncultured Inocybaceae. Its description in RNAcentral is "sequence contains ITS2". The record is from RNAcentral. Lineage: Eukaryota; Fungi; Basidiomycota; Agaricomycetes; Agaricales.
AAUUCUCAAUCUACAACUUGUUGUGGCUUGGAUAGUUGGGUGUUGCCAGCUUUUUAUUACAAAGUAGGCUCUCCUUAAAUGUAUAAGUGGUAUUUUAGAAACUUGUUAGGUGUUGUAAAUUAUCAAUACAUCUAUGUUUCUGAAAUAUACUGCUUCUAACAAAACCCCCCUUUUGAUGAUU